UACGGAGGGUGCAAGCGUUGUUCGGAUUUAUUGGGCGUAAAGCGCGUGUAGGCGGUUUUUUAAGUCUGAUGUGAAAGCCCUGGGCUCAACCCAGGAAGUGCAUUGGAUACUGGAAGACUUGAAUACGGGAGAGGGUAGUGGAAUUCCUAGUGUAGGAGUGAAAUCCGUAGAUAUUAGGAGGAACACCGGUGGCGAAGGCGGCUACCUGGACCGAUAUUGACGCUGAGACGCGAAAGCGUGGGGAGCAAACAGG
RNAcentral lists this ribosomal RNA (253 nucleotides) under uncultured bacterium. Its description in RNAcentral is "partial 16S ribosomal RNA". It matches the Rfam family "Bacterial small subunit ribosomal RNA", at positions 524 to 776 of the family's 1533-position model. The record is from RNAcentral.